AGAAAUGUGAUGGAGUACUGACAUUCAUUUCACUUUGAAUUAAACACAGCAUCACCAUGAGUCUCAAGAGACGAUAUUAAGUUUUGUGUUUGGGUAAUACUGGGAAUUCUACAGGCAAGGGUAGAAUUAUAUUUGGUGGGCAAAAAGCCAGUCAAACUUCACACUUGUCCUAGAAGUAGGUGGUCAAAACCUCAGUUCUUGUCAUCAAACCUAUUGGCCACACUUGCUUAAA
This 232-nucleotide long non-coding RNA is filed under the name Homo sapiens (human). Its description in RNAcentral is "HSALNT0071714". The record is from RNAcentral. Lineage: Eukaryota; Metazoa; Chordata; Mammalia; Primates; Hominidae.